RNAcentral lists this transfer RNA (54 nucleotides) under Spirocerca lupi. RNAcentral describes it as "tRNA-Asp". The record is from RNAcentral. Lineage: Eukaryota; Metazoa; Nematoda; Chromadorea; Rhabditida; Thelaziidae.
AAGCUUGAGUAUAGGUUUUGUAUAUUUUAUUGUCUGUAAAUUGGUUAAGGCUUU